This 505-nucleotide ribosomal RNA is filed under the name uncultured bacterium. Its description in RNAcentral is "partial 16S ribosomal RNA". It matches the Rfam family "Bacterial small subunit ribosomal RNA", at positions 28 to 507 of the family's 1533-position model. The record is from RNAcentral.
GACGAACGCUGGCGGCGUGCCUAAUACAUGCAAGUAGAACGCACAGUUUAUACCGUAGCUUGCUACACCAUAGACUGUGAGUUGCGAACGGGUGAGUAACGCGUAGGUAACCUGCCUGGUAGCGGGGGAUAACUAUUGGAAACGAUAGCUAAUACCGCAUAAUAUUGAUUAUUGCAUGAUAAUUGAUUGAAAGAUGCUAUUGCAUCACUACCAGAUGGACCUGCGUUGUAUUAGCUAGUAGGUGAGGUAACGGCUCACCUAGGCGACGAUACAUAGCCGACCUGGGAGGGUGGUCGGCCAAACUGGGACUGAGACACGGCCCAGGAUCCUACGGGAGGCAGCAGUAGGGAAUCUUCGGCAAUGGACGAAAGUCUGACCGAGCAACGCCGCGUGAGUGAAGAAGGUUUUCGGAUCGUAAAGCUCUGUUGUAAGAGAAGAACGGGUGUGAGAGUGGAAAGUUCACACUGUGACGGUAUCUUACCAGAAAGGGACGGCUAACUACGUG